UCGUGGCCACAUGCCCUACAAAUCCGAAAAUGCCUAUGAAAUUGAUGGAUCCCGCUUCACUCCUCCUCCACCAUCCCAUCGACUAGGUCUGAAUCGAGCCACCUACAUCACGGAUGUGUGCGUCUACCUGUGCUUGGCGCUUCUUCCUCAUCUUCUGUCUGAGCAGAUGGCGACGGCGGCGGCCAUGUCCUCCUCGUUGCCUUCCCGAGGGCGUAGGGCCACCUCGACCCGAUGCAUCACCACGAGCCACUGUCCCGCCCCCGUCACCCCCUUGUCCGACACCCUCGAGCUGCUCUUUCUCCGAGUCCACGGCGGGGACGCCCGUACAUGUGCGUGUGCUCGUGUACGACUAGCACCUCCCGUAGGCGGGCUGCGUGGCACGCGCCGCCGGCGUGCCGACGGCCGCACUCUUCUCGCAGCCCUGUUCGGUGGAUAUCAUCUACAGGGAGGUCUACGCGGACAGCGUCGGCCCGCCGGUCAUGGAAGGGGGCGUGCAGCGGGGCCUGCUGAGCGAUGGAUGUGCCGUCGCUUGUGGCAGCGCCGGAGUCGUACCGGUUGUUCAUGGACGUAGUGGUGGGAGGGCCCGUUCGAAGGGUUGGUGGACGCCGCCGACGUCUUCAUCAACUCGUUCCAUGAACUCAAGAUCAAGAAAGUCGAUCUGUUGGAGGCACACAUGGGAACAAUGUGAUUGCUGAACUAAUUGAAGAUCAUGUAUGUUGGUCUUCCAUAUGUCAUAUGAAAUUUCAGAAGCCAAUUGUUUUCCCUUCAGGCACCAACAGAGCUAUGAAUUGUUUUGUAUUCAGAUGACAUAAGGAGUCCUGAAUCUCGUAUAUUUUGUUUAUCAAGAGAUGAAAAUUGGUGCUCUUAUGACCUCUGCUGGAAUCAACAUUGGUCUCUAUACUUUUUGUAUCAUUCUAUUCCAAAUGUUAAGGUCUAUUUUGAGUAAGGUGUCACCUUUUUGUUUUUUUUUCUGAUGACUCUUCAUUACAUUUUUCAUACGGUUGGCAGAGUGCUCACAAGUCCUUUGCUGUAGGGUUUAUGGCUAAGAUACGAAUGGUGUGAAAAUGGUUUAUAUGAAGCACUGAUUAAUUUAGUAAUACGGAUAAUGGAAUAUUUCAUGGGAAGCAAGAGAUGUGAGGAGGUGCAUCUGUAGUCAUCGUUUGCAAGAGAUAAGCCAAUGUUUUUGGGUCUGAAGCAACGCACAGACAUUUAGUUCUCACCAUACGAUUAUUAUCAGGGAAACACCUUAAAUAGGCGAUCUGGUCUGGGAAAUCCGUGGCUUUGCCCUUGUCGAUCUGGUCUGGUCUGGUCUUGUAUAUAUGGAUGAAUGAAUGUGCAACAAGCAUAUUUGCAUUAGUAACUCAUCUCGGUGAUCUAUCUACUAUCUAGAAUAGUUGUUUUUUUAAUGUCGAACCCAACCAUGAAUGUUGAUUAAGCUUGUUGACUUUAUUCUACAGGAAGAUUUAGCUCCUCUUAAUUUGAUUAUUCAAGAUAAUUUUCACCGUGCUUCCCCUGGUUGUGAACCUUGAUAACAUGCUUCACUUGGGGUAACCGUGUUAUAUGAUUUACUUAUUAUUGAAGGGGUUUAUAUGGAUGGGAAUCAGAUGAGUUGUAUGUGUAGGAUAAUAGAUCAGCAGCAAUCAGGCAGCACAGUCAGUGAUGCAGGAUGAUCCAUUUUUUUCUAAUUUAUAAACUUUGGAUUAAUUGUGUAUUCUGCUAUUUUAUAAAAAAAUGUGAGAAGUGGGAGAGAAUCUACACCUGUGCUAAUGUAAAAUUUACUUAUGUAGCUGCAGUUUUUUUUAAAUCCUACUGUUUAUCCUUUUUGGUUGAAAAUUGUUUACUAAUUAUGACAUUGUUUUUAUUUCUUCCAGAUUUGGUAUACUAUAUAUUCUUGGAUUGAGGGAACUGUCUAACAAGGUGAAAGAGCUAAUAGUUGCAGUUUACACCAAUCCAAUUUGUUUUAUUUUAGUGUUGGACAUGGUCCAUGAUGUUUGGGACACUUGCAUUGUUGCUGCUUGAUCCUAUCAAGAGGUUCGAUCCUAUAAUGAAUAAUGCAGCCAGUUUGGAUGUUUGGAUGCAAAGCUUUUGAACUGGGUGUUUUUUUUGACAGAAAGACUGUAAGGGAACCCCCUACAGUAUAAUUGGUGUAACAAACCUAAAUUGCAAGUACCGUGCCUUGAACCUGGGUGGGUGGGAAGGCAUCAGCCCCUUCCCACCACUAGGCUAUGCCUUAGUCUGCCUUUUGAAUUGGAUGUUGUAUAAGUAUUUCAGAAAAAUAUGACUUGCAUGGAUUGGAGAAAAAAAUUUGUUUGUAUUUGUUGUCUUAUAGGCUAGCUAGCUAGCAACUAGCUUUUUGCUAUCUACUAUUUGCCCAUAGCAACCAACCCACCAUACUGAGUUUUACUCCAGUUAGCUUUAAAUUUGUUAUUUCUACUGAAUUUUACAUACUAAUCCUACGUGCACCUGAAUAUUUUUGCAGAGAUGUAUUAUGAUAACUAUAUCAAAACUCAAUAGUUUAUAACUUGUUCUUUCAAACAUAACUUGAAAAUCUGAAUCUACAGGAGCAAGCCUUAGAUGAGUGUAUAUGUUAGUUUGGUAGCUAUUGGAAACAACAAUCUUCCAAAUUCUGGGAUGCUCUACAAAACAUACGAUCUGCUUUGUUGCUAAACCAAACAAAAGCAUGAUAUAAUUUGGAAUCUUGUUUUUCUUGGCGUCACACAUGCGGAAGAAGAUGAGAAUCGUAAAAAAUGAUCGUAUUUCUUGGGUUAGCUCUAAGAUGCUCUUCGGCUGUCUUUUCUCAAAAAGAAAAGUUUAAUGAUGUAUAAAAAUCUGACUUUCGUGUAUCUAUUUGAUGAUCUAUCCGACAGAAGACCCCGCCUUGUUCUUAAUUACUACUACCCAAAUUGUCGAUCUAUGUUUCUUAUCAUAAUUUUGUUUGUUUCUUACUGUGAGGAAGAGUGUCACAUAGCUAGGGCAUUUGUUGUGUCAAUGGUUGUUACAUAUAAUCUGAGGAUUACCACAUGACAACUUUGUGAUGGCAUGGUGUUAUUUUGUUUUCUGGAUAGGCAAGAAGAGUCCAACUGGCAAAGCAUGAUAUGAGGAUGUUUCUACAAUACUCUUCCUCUACUAUGAGUUUAUAAUACAUAUGAAAUAAAUGUAUACAUUUUUCUAUUCUAGCACCUACAUUUUUAUUUAUUGAUGCUCUUUUGAUUAUUUUUGGAUGUUCUAUCCUCUUUGCAGUCAUGAAACUGUAAGACAUAUGCAUUUUAAGCCGUAUUUGCAUUGCUUUUCUUUCAUUCAAUGG
Aegilops tauschii subsp. strangulata is the source of this 3304-nucleotide long non-coding RNA. RefSeq lists it as uncharacterized. The record is from RefSeq and is a predicted model, not a curated record. NCBI's taxonomy places the organism in Eukaryota, Viridiplantae, Streptophyta, Magnoliopsida, Poales, Poaceae.